UCAGCUAAUGAAGACGGUAAAAUAUCCAUC
Molecule: small RNA, 30 nt
Filed under: Bombyx mori (domestic silkworm)
Lineage: Eukaryota; Metazoa; Arthropoda; Insecta; Lepidoptera; Bombycidae
Description: piRNA piR-bmo-2031654
Source: RNAcentral